This 305-nucleotide ribosomal RNA is filed under the name uncultured bacterium. RNAcentral's name for it is "bacterial SSU rRNA". It matches the Rfam family "Bacterial small subunit ribosomal RNA", at positions 337 to 660 of the family's 1533-position model. The record is from RNAcentral.
ACCUACGGGGCGCAGCAGUGGGGAAUUUUGCGCAAUGGGGGAAACCCUGACGCAGCAACGCCGCGUGCGGGGCGAAGGCCCUCGGGCUGUAAACCGCUUUCAGCAGGGAAGACGUCGACGGUACCUGCAGAAGAAGCUCCGGCUAACUACGUGCCAGCAGCCGCGGUAAUACGUAGUGGGCGAGCGUUAUCCGGAUUCAUUGGGCGUAAAGCGCGCGUAGGCGGCCGCCUAAGCGGAACCUCUAACCCCGAGGCUCAACCUCGGGCCGGGAUCCGGACGGGGCGGCUCGAGUGCGGUAGAGGAGA